GUAUUGAUGAAGAGUCCCAAACUAGGACGAAGAAACGGCUGUCCAGUAC
RNAcentral lists this non-coding RNA (49 nucleotides) under Trichobilharzia regenti. Lineage: Eukaryota; Metazoa; Platyhelminthes; Trematoda; Strigeidida; Schistosomatidae. The record is from RNAcentral.